Molecule: long non-coding RNA, 31580 nt
Filed under: Vitis vinifera (wine grape)
Lineage: Eukaryota; Viridiplantae; Streptophyta; Magnoliopsida; Vitales; Vitaceae
Description: long non-coding RNA (VVIN_LNC005417)
Source: RNAcentral
GAGGGAUGAGUGGUUCUUUAUUGUGUUUUAUAUAUACAUGGUGAUAGGAUGGUACUACUGAUCCAUUGGUUUGAAAUAAAGGUGGAAUGGUUUCAAAAGAAAUAUAUAUCUAUUUUUCGGUUUUAAAAAGAUAGGUUAAAAUAUCCUUCAAUUUUUUUUGGGAAAUUUUCAGGGAUUUGAGAUACAUGGUUCAUAAAAACAUUUUUUAAAAUUCCUUGAUCCAUGAGCUAGGGUACUAAAUAAAAAAUUUCUCUAUUUACAAUAGACAUAUUUACAUAAGCUAAAUAUAUAACAACGGAAAAUUCAGGGUCAUGAUAUGCCAUAUACCUUGUUUUUAUCCCGACAUUUUUUGUUCUAAAAUGUUUAUACAAAAGUUCUUGAUUUUUAAACACUUUGUUAUAUUGGGGUUGUAGAAAAAAGGUUUCGACUAAAGAGUAGUUAUUAGCUCCAAUUAGGUUUUUAACAACAAGUUUUUCAUAUUGUUCGGUCAGAAGAGUUGGUUUCUUAAUUAAACUAAUUACUUCAGGUUGACUAUUCGAACAAUUGGUUUGACUGGUUGACACUGUACUGGUUUUCAAAUCUUCUAUAAGUUUUUCCUGAUUUUGAGGUUUUGAAAUUUUUGGGUUUCUAAAGCAAUCAGUUGGUUUUGAAGGUUUUGUAAAUGUUGGGCUAAAGUUGACACAGUUUUUCCAUAAGCGUAUUCUAAAUUUUGGUUCAAAAAACUUUGUGGUUUUAGAGACCAAAAGUUAUCUACAAUAACCUUAUGUUCUUCAAAAAGGUUUUGAGAAAAUAAAGAGUUAAACCUCAAAUUUAGAUUCAACACUUCGUUCAAACAUAUGUUUCCAUAUUGAAAGGUUCUAGCUUUAGUGGGUUUUCUUUUAGCCAUGUUCCUAUAAUCAUAAAAUCAAUCAUUAGUAUUAUCAACAUUAUUAAUUAUUUAUCUACUUAACCAAUCUACUAAUAUAUUAUCUUUUCCUUGUUCAAAUUUAGGUUUGAAACCAAUUAAAAAGUUUUGAAACUUUAUCCAUCUUUUGGUAGACAGUUUUGAAGAAUUUUUGUUUUUAAAGAAUUUUUGUUUUCAAAGAAUUUUUUAAUAUUCUCACAAUCGAUUCUUAAGGUAAAUUGUUCUUGGUUAAAAAAUAAUUGGAAUUUUUCUAAGACUAAUAUUAUUGCUUCAAUUUCUAAGUCUGUAGAACUAAGUUCUUUUGAUAAUCAUUAAAAGUUCCUCUACAAUAUCUACAAAGUUUCUUUUCUCCUAUAUUAGUUACUGCUGAAAGAAUACCUCCUCAUCCUGUUUGACUAGCAUCAGUUUGAACUAUUUUAUAUUCAUUUUCUAAGGGUAAAUGUAAGGUUGGGAGAUGCUUCACAAGUUCUUUUAUUUUCUGUACAAGUUUAAUAUCUUCUUGGUUAAAAUAUCUUUGCCCUGUGUUUUUUGUUUUACUAUAAAGGGGUCCAGCUAAUCUACUAAGGUUUUUAAUAUAUGGCCUAACAUAAUUUAAUAAUCCUAAAAAACUUUGAAGGGUUUUUAAGUUUUCGAGUUUAUCCCAAAAAUUAUUUAUUUUUUGCACUAUAUGAUCUUGCAAUUUGAUUUGUCCAUCCUCUAAUUCUAAUCCUAAAAAUUGUAUUUGGGUCUUAAAUAAUUUCAAUUUCUUUUUACUUACUAUUAAUCCAUGACUAAUUAGUUUUUCAAAAAUAAAUUCUAAAUGUUUUAUGUGUUCCUGAAGAGUAUAUGAAAAAACAAGAAUUAUCAUCAAUAUAUACAAAAACAAAAGAAUAUUUACCAAAAAAUAUUAUCUAUCAUUUGUUGGAAUAUCUGAGGAGCAUUUUUUAGUCCAAAUGACAUUACAUUCCAUUCAUAUAAUCCACAAGGACAUGAAAACGUUGUCCAUGGUUUAUUAUCUUCUUCUAAUCUAAUUUGCCAAAAUCCACUUUUACAAUCUAACUGAGAAAAGUAUUUACAUCCUUUAAUAGAAUUAAUUAAAUAAUCUUUAUUUGGAAUUUUAUGGCAUCAUCAUAUGUAUUAUCAUUUAAUCUUUUAUAAUUAAUAACCAUCCUAGCUUUUCCUCGUUUUUCUUCAUUAUGGUUUCUAAAUAAAAAAAGUUGAGGAUCUAUGGGGACUGAAACUUGAUUUUAUGAGGUUAAAAAAAUUAAACGAGACAGGGCAAGACAAAGCAAGUAUGUGAAUUUCCCAUAUCCGCCGCCACGCCCUGUUUAACUUUUUUUUUUUUUUUUUUGAAAAAAAUUAAUUUUUUUCAAUAUUUUUUAUUUUUUUAAUUAUAUUAAAAUAAAUAUAUUUUAUAAAUAAUUAAAAUAUUAUAAUUUUAUAUAACUUAUUUGAUUGAAAAUAUUUUAUUAUUAUCAUUAUUAUUAUUAUUAUUAUUUUAAAAUUAAUUUUAUAUAUAAUUGAGGCAAGACAAGGCAUACAUGAACCCACCCUCUUGAGUAUAAAAAAAAUCUCAAACUCGAUCCUAACCCAUUUACUUAAAUUUUAAAUUUGUCUCAUUAGAGGUAUCGGAAAAAACUAGCCCUAUUGUCAUUCCUAACCAAAACUAAUGAGUCAACCUUGUCAAAAGUCUUGAAAAAUUUAAGGAAAAAAAAAAUUAGUGGGGCCUUACUAGUUAUAAUUUUAGAACCAAUACCGUAUGAGAAGGGACAAGCUUAAUGUUUGGAUUAGACAUAGAACCAUGAAGCCAAUAAAAGUAGAAAGUUGUCACAUCCUUAUUCACAACUUUGAUGACUUGUCGAUUCAACAAACCAUUUUUUCUUUCUCAUUUGCCAUUACUAAAUUUGAUUUGUCUUUAUCAAAGUAUUAUGCAACUUGAAUUAGAAGCCAUCUUAUAUAGAAAUGUCAAAUGUUUAUUAUUCAUAAAAUUGGAAAUUUGCUAGAAUUUCAAAUAUAAAUAUUUGAAAAUUUUAAUUUCUAUUUUCAAUCAAAGCCCGGAAUAAAGUAGAAGGAAACUACCAGAAAAUUUCUAACAUAAAAUGCAUUCAAAAAGGUGGGGUCAGAAAAAAAAACGACGGUUGAAGAAAUUUGAAUCAGUCAAACCUAUCAUUCAGGUGAACAAAGUCGUUAAAAUGGUUUCAUAAAUUAAUAUAUAUAUAUAUAUAUAUAAGUGGAGAAAUUAAUUUGUCGAGGAGAGCAUGUAGAUAAAUUAAACAUAUCCAAAUAUAUUAUAUAAAAUCUCAAGUUGAUAUAUAUGUGAUUUUUUCAAGAGAAAAAAAAUGUAGAAAAAAAUGUACAAUCUUCCACAGAAGACCAUGAAAUUGAAUGAGUUUCCAUAGACUAUUUAACAAGAAAAUGUAUUGACAAAAUUUUCCACACGAUGAACAGAUAACGAUGAAAUUGAAUGAGUUUCCAUGGACUAUUUAACAAGAAAUGAACAGAUAUUUUCCAUUGACUUGGAUGUUAUAUAAGACUUCCAUGUGGAAUUUUCAAGUGUCGCGUGGUUUCGGGAAGAAUGAAUGGAAAUUUUUGAUGAGUUAACACUGUCAUAUUUAACGUGGGCCUUCCGACACGUAUGACGUCAUCGAUCAUCCAAAACAAUCCAAUAAAUUAUAAUAAUGAUAUAAGACAUAAUUAAAUGGGUGGGACAAGCGUGAGAAAUAGAGCGGUUGGCUUAGUAGAGAGAGAGAGAGGUGCACAUGGGAAACAGUUGCUAAGGAAAUUGCUGGGUCCUUUCUGUAUGUUCAGUCAUUGAAUCUGUCCACCUUCUAAUUCCAAAGUGUCAAAUGGUGAGAGAUUGCCUACACAACAAAACUCUCACAUACAAAAACACAAAGAAAUUAAGAGGUCAUUAGGCUUUGUGUGUUGUCAAUCAUCCCAAUGCCUACUAUUUGAGUUAUACUAUACCUCUUAACCAAAUGUCCCUACUAUUCAAGUUAUAUUGUACCUAAACCAAGGAGUGUACCUAAAGUUAGGAUACCAUCUCUCUGCUACAUCAAGAUUGAUCUCAAAGUAGGGCAAAUCUGCUUUAAGAACAAUGCUCUAUCACUCUCCAAGCCACCCUAAUUUGAUAAGUGCCUAAACCUUCUUUUUUUUUUUUUCUUUUUUUUGCCCACUUGUUUGUUUGUGUUUUAAGCUUAUUCUUGUUUCUACUUAGUUAAAUUCAACCCUCUAGUAUUUUGAACCAACAAUCCUAAAGUCGAGCUUAAUUUAUAAAGAUUCUUCCUUAGUUCACACCCAUCGCUAACCCUCUAAGAUUGAUCCUUUCAAUGGGACCUUCUUGAAGACAUGGUAGGAAAUGACCUUUUCUACCAUUAACAUUGUGAACUUGGAACAUAUUUUGAUUGGCCUAAAACUUGAGGAAAAUUAUGAAAAUUUGCCUAUGUAGGAAAUUGGAAAUAGACAAGUUAGGCAUGUUAUCCUUAGUACACUUUCUAAGGAACUAUUUGAUGUAUAUUGUCAAUAUUAAAUAGCUAAAGGUACUUGGGAUAUCACAAAUAAGAAAUAUGUUAUGAAAGAUGCAAGAAUCUGGAAAUAUGUCAUGGGGAAUUUUAAGAAAAUGAUCAAGGAUAUAAAUGUAUCAUCUCAAAUCCAUGAUUAACACUUGCUAAUUAAUAAGUUAUCUAAUGAGGACGUAAAACUAUCUAAACCUUUUAUGGCUAUGAAUUUGCUGGAUACUCUUCCAGAUUCUUUGGAAAGAUUAUAAAAACAACAUGAAACGCAAAAGGAAACAAAUGUCCCUAAAAAAAUGUUAUAAUCGAUAUUUUAGGACUAGUCCUUGAAAAUAAUCAAGUGGUUGUCAAUCAUCCUAAUGCCUACUAUUUGAGUUAUACCAUACCUCAUAAACAAAUGUCCCUAAUAUUUGAGUUAUAUUGUACCUCAACCAAGAAGUGUACCUAGAGGUAGGAUACCAACUCUAUGCUACAUCAAGAUUGAUAUCAAAGUAAGGCAGAUCUACUUUAAGGACAAUGUUUUAUCACUCUUCAAGCCACCCUAAUUUGAUACGUGUCUAAACUCUCUUUUUUUUCCCACUUGUUUGUUUGUGUUUUAGGUUCAGUCUUGUUUCAACUUAGUUUCAACCCUCUAGUAUUUUGAACCAACAAUCUUAAAGUAGAGCUUAAUUUAUAAAGAUUCUUCCUUAGUUCGCUCCCAUCCCGAACCCUUUAAGAUUGAUCCCUUCAAUGGGACCUUCUUCAAGAGACGAUAGGAAAGGACCUUUUUUGACAUGAACAUUGUGAACUUAGAACAUAUUUUGAUUGGCCUAAAACUUGAGGAAAAUUAUGAAAAAUUGCCUAUGUAGGAAAUUGGAAAUAAAAAAGUUAGGGAUGUUAUCAUUGGUACACUUUCUAAGGAACUAUUUGAUGUAUAUUGACAAUAUUAGAUUAAGAAUAUUUGGGAUAUCAUGAAUAAGAAAUAUGUUAUGGAAGAUGCAGGGAUCCGAAAAUAUGCCAUGGAGAAUUUUACGAAAUUUUGGAUGACCAAGGAUAGAAAUGUGCCAUCUCAAAUCCAUGAUUACCACUAGCUAAUAAUGACUUAUCUAAUGAGGAUAUAAGAUUGCCUAAACCUUUUAUGGUUAGAAAAUUGAUAGAAACUCUUCUAAAUUCCUAGAAAGAUUAUAAAGACAGCAUGAAGCAUAAAAGGAAAUAAAUGCCCUUGAAAAAUGUUAUAAUCCAUAUUUUAGGACCGAUCAUAAAAAGGAAUCAAGUGGUUGUUGAUCAUCCCACUUAAGAACUUAUUUGGAUAUGUAGUGAUCUAAAUUGUUGUUUUGACAAUUUAAGAGGUUUGUUCUUGGUUUUCCAUUUUCUUUCCAAUUCAUUCUUAAAAGAAAUUAUAAUCCUUUUAGGCUUACUUCACAUUAUGGAGUUAUAGGUAGAUUUUUUAAUUUCUUUGUCCUACCUCAAUUGUACUCCACCAAUGUAUUUGAUUAAUUGGUACCCUAUUUGAAUUUGCAAGGCUAGCAUUAGCGGUUGGGAAGACUCUUGUUAAUUCAGGUUUGUGUUGAAAAUAUGCUUAAUCCAUCUAUGAACUAUUUAAUAGUUAUAGUAGAAUACCUUGAUACUUACACCACCCAUUUACUAAAUAAAUAACAUGACAUAACAUGUUUAAUAAAUAGGUUGGAUUGAAAUAUUAAUUAUGAAUUGAUACUUUUUACCCAUAACUUGAUAGCAUGAUUCUAACUCGUUAAAUCGGUUAACAUAAUUACAAUCCAUUUAACCUCUUUAUGAUUUUGAAUUAAUAAAAUGUAUUUUUCAAAUAUUUUUUAAUUACUUUUAAGUUUUAAUUUCAAAAAUUUUCUAAAUCAUAAUUAAUUUAAUUAAUUGUAAUAUGCAAUAUGCUUAUAAGAUAAGAGAAAAAUCAAACUUUAAUUUACACUUGUAUAGAGUUUUAUUUUAAUUUUUCAAUUAUAAAAUAUUUUUAAUCUUUUUAAUUUUUUAAAUAUAUAAAGCUUUACUCUAUUAGUUAUUUAAUUUUUUAAUUAAUUAAAAACUAUCAUUUUUUGAAUUUUAAUAUAUAUAAAAAUUAAUAAAUUUAAUGGUUAAACUUAAAUAAAUGAGUUUUUAGCAACAUUUUUUCAUCAACAUCUGUUGCAGGAAAUGAAUAAUCCAUAAACCUUGCAAUAUCGUUGCACUCUUUAAAAUUUUAAAUUUAUAAAAUAAUAUUUUAAAAAUGCUAUUUACUGAAUUUUAAGUUUUCUAAAUCUUGAUUAAUUUAAUUAUUUAUUUUUAAUUAUAAUAUUUUUAUAUGAUAAAAGAUAAAAUUAAACAUUUAAUUCUAUUUAUAAAAGAUAAUUAUAUAUAUAUAUAUACACACACACAUAGACACCUAGGACAAGGUCAUAUGCAAUGAAAACAGGAAUUAUGUCAUGAUUCAAAACAAAGAAGAGGGUUAGAAAUCCAACAAGAUAAAUAACCAAAGAAAUUUAAAAAGAGAAGGAACCACAAAUUUUUUAGUUCAUUUAUCUUGUUGGAUUUCUAACCCUCUUCUUUGUUUUGAAUCAUGGCAUAAUUCCUGUUUUCAUUGCAUAUGACCUUGUCCUGGGUCAGAGCCAUCGAGAAGGGAAGUUGGGUUUGUUUUGGGUGUUUUGAGCUAUCCUAAGAUAGGUAGCAGUGUGCCUAGGAGCACUAGCCUUGCCGGUAGAGCCGUUGUUAGCCAUGGAUAGGUGUUUGUUAGGCUGUAAGAGGGUUGGGGUGACAUCUCAUAAGGUUUGUCAAUCUGCUAUUAGGCUCCAGAUCAAAACCCUAAAAUGAGUUCAAUUUUCAGAACCAUGUCUAGGAGAUCCAGUGAUUCUCAAGAUACUGUUGUAAACAGUGAAGAGAUCAAUUAUCCUAAGAUCCAAAAUGAUUUAGAUGAUUGGAAGUUACCCAAGGUGUCUAAUCAAGAAAUUUAUAAGAAAUGAACCUUUAAGUUUUUCACAGAUUGUACCAUCAAGACCUCUGAAAUGUCAGUCAGCUUAGAACAAGACGACCAAGUCAUAAGACUUCUAGAUAACAGAUCCAUUGAAAAGCAUAAGAAAGAUGGCUAUAAUUUCAUACACUUUGGUAUGAUUCAAGUAGCAGCUAAGCCUUUGACAAGAUUAGGUUUAAACACCUCUAUUGUCAUGUGUUUAAGGGAUAAUAGGCAUCUCGAAUAUCGAGAUUCUAUUAUAGGCACAGUCCAAGCUGGACUGAAUGAUGGCCCAGUUUAUUUCCAGUGUUAUCCUAACUUCACAAUUAGAAUAAGAGAUGCAGACAUCUUAGAUUCUGUUGUCCUGCAUAUUAAGACCCAUGGCUUUAAGAUCAAACCAGGAAACAGUCCUGUUUCAAUCAUAACCAGGUUUGCCUAUAAAAGCAUGAACACAAGCGUUGGAUCUAGGGCUCUUUGCACCAAUCCUAAGGGUGAGACCACUUACUUUCACUCAGAUAUGCUUGAUAAGUCAGAUUUCAUCAUCCCCAAGAAGAUCUUGUGGAAAGAUGUUGAGUUUCCUGAAAAUUGGCAUUUUGCUAAUGUUGUUCCAACCAUUGCACAACGAUCUGAAAGGAUUGAACAAAUUGUUCAAUAUCCUGAUGGAGGAGGAGAACUAGUUUUCUCCAACUCUUUCAGACAUUCUAGCAGCCCUAGAGUUUCAGUUUAUGAACCCUCUAGAGCUUCAAGCUCUUCCAUUCCAGUUAGAACCACUAGAGAAGAGGAAGGUUCCAGCUCAGGAAAUCCUAAGAACAUUAAGCUAACAACUGUUAAAAGUCACACCAACGUGGCUAAACCAUUUUACACAGAGGAAAAUGAGUCUACUCAGGAAUCCCAACAGGAUGAGUCCCCUGUUAUGUCUCCUACCUAUUCCCAGAUGAUUAACACAAUAAGCCUAAGUGAUGAGGGCUUUGAGAUCAACAAGGAUCUCUUAAGAAAGGACUUCUAUUCUGAAGUCAAUAAGCAAAGAAAUGAUUGGUUCUUUAGCAUUGUCCCUAAAGUCAUUAGAACCAUUUACCAAGAAGAAUUCUAUGCCUACUUAGGACAAGAAAAGAAAAAUAUUAAGUUUUGGAUUUGGUUUGAACUCUUCAAACAAGAAGAAUAUCCAUAUUAUCCUUAUAAGCGUGUUAAUAACACUAAGAGCACUAAUAAAAUUAAGUCUUUUGAAUUUUUUAAGGAAUUCCAGGAAAAUCCCCAAAUCAACCAGGCUUUUGUUGAUAGGAUAAAUCAGAAGAUUAAGGAUAAUCUUGUUGCUCCUUUGACUGUUCAGCCUCAUAAGAGAAUCAAUAUGGUUAAAGGUGAUAUUAGUUCAGAAGAAGAAGCUGAUGAACUAAUUAAGAUGUUUGAGGAACCCCAUAAUCAAAUUAUUUCAAAAGAUAUUAACAAUUUGGAAGCCUUUAAGAUUAGGAAUUAUAUUAAUUUAUACUCUUAAUGCAAAAUUACUUAGUUUUGAGCAUAUUAAAGAAUUCUAUCAUUUAGACCGCGAUUUUUGUGAGGAGUUUCGGGCCUGUGAGAAAAACGCAAUGGGUAAGUUCUUUAGGUACAAAGGUUUCUUAUUUCGAGAAAAUAAAUUGUGUGUGCCGAAUUGCUCUUUGCGUGAAUUGUUAGUAAGAGAAUCCCAUGGUGGAGGGUUAAUGGCGCAUUUUGGAGUUGCUAAGACCUUAUUCAUUUUGCAAAAACACUUCUAUUGGCCACACAUGAAAAGAGAUGUUGAGAGAAUUUGUGGUAGAUUUGUCACAUGUAGGCAAGCAAAAUCCUGAGUGCAAUCCCAUGGUUUAUACACACCACUGUCUAUUCCUAGUGAGCCUUGGAUUGAUAUUUCGAUGGACUUUGUGUUAAGUUUUCCUAGGUCUAAACGUGGUAGGGAUUCAAUAUUUGUGGUUGUGGAUAGAUUUUCUAAGAUGAUACAUUUCAUUCCAAGUCACAAAAUCGAUUAUGCUUCACAUGUUAAUUUGUUCUUUAGAGAAAUUGUAAGAUUACAUGGUAUGCCUAGGACAAUAGUUUGGGAUAGAGAUGCUAAGUUUUUGAGUUACUUUUGGAAGACUUUGUGGUGUAAGUUAGGAACUAAGUUAUUAUUUUCUACUACUAGUCACCCACAAACAGAUGGUCAAACCGAAGUAGUGAAUAAGACUUUGUGUACUUUGUUGAGGGCUAUUAUUAAAAAGAACAUAAAACCUUGGGAAUAGUGUUUACCACACGUUGAGUUUGCUUAUAAUUGUUGUGGACCCGCAUUUUUCACUUGCGCCCCCACUCGAUCGGCGAGACUCGCCUUUUAUUUGUGAAAAAUUAAUUUUUAGAAAAGUUGGAGUCGCCACUUAUUUUAUUUUUAUUUUAAAGGGAAAAUAAAACAAGAAAGAAAAACCCUAAAAAAUGACUCCAUAAUUUUUGGAAAAGCGUGUCUUUGAAAAACCCGAGUCUAAAUCCGGGGAUCAGGUUACUUAUUGGGAAGGUACCUUUAAAAGGUAGCACCCCUCUAAGCCCUACAAAGGUCUCUACUGACAAAGUUAAGGGAAGUAUGGCAAUUAAUCAGUUAAUUAUAGAUACCUAAAUAGGCUAGGUGAUUUUAAAGAGUGGCAUGCCAAACACAAUCAAAUUGCAAUAAAGGAGAGUUAGGGUGCGUACCUGAACCGCUCUUCAAGCACUAUCAUAAAACAUAAGAGUUAGUGUAGAAAUCUAUCACACAACAUGUGUCUUACCAAGGCAAAUCUAGUAUAUAUUUAAACACCCAAGAAUCACAUCAUGCAUGGAUAUAGUCACCAAUAGCGUACACGUCCAUAGAAUUCUCGAAAAAAUAUAUGAGAAGGAGCGUACCUGGAUAGCAAGCUAAAACACCUUUAUGGGAAGCAAGGUUAACCCAAUAACAAAUAUGAAACAAAUUGAAGCAUAUCUCCAAGAGGAAUCAAAAUCAAUUAAAUACCAAACGAUCAUCUUUAAAAUCAAUAUUAGUGAAGAUAUAAAGAAUGUAGGACCCCCCACCAAAGUCCAUAUUACUUUUGCACGAAUUGAUUCAAUGAAUUCCCUUGUUUGGAAUCAUGAAGUUUGUUCAUGCUUGUUGAAAAUCGAGAAAAUCAAAAAAAUCAGUUGAAAAUCAAAUAAAACAAUAGAAAUGCGUGCCAGAAGGAAAGCGGCAAGAAAAGAUUUGUUAAAAUCUGGAUUUUAAGCCUAGAGACUCCUAAAGAUGUUUAAAGAAAACUGGAGUUAUUUUGACGUAAAAUGGUUUUGAAAUCUAGAUUUAAAAUGUAUAAGAUCACAAAAAGAAGAAAAAGAAACAAUAGGAGGAGUAUGAUGUGUGGCGAGGUGGCCAAGCCGGUUUAGUGUAUAGGCUACUUUUGAGACAGAAUUACUUGGGUUGCCUGAGGAUGUUUCUGCAAAUUGCUGAAAUGGAAUUCUGCGUUCUGACAUCAGUGGUCACUGUCUGCAAACUCAAUUCACUCAAAGCAACUAUGAAGAAAGAAAUUUCACUGCCAUCUCUUCCCAAAGUUUCUGUUUUCAUGCUACUGGCAUCACAACCCAAACCAGAUUGGUGUACUCCAACUGAUGUCUUCCAAUAUUUCUUCUAAUUCGGGUUUAGAGAAUGACGAGAAGUCAUUUGGAUUCACCACAUUGGAGGGAAUAGAACCAUUGUCAUUAUUCUAAAGGUGUUUUACCAUGGCAGGAAAGAGGAAACGCUGGCGGAAAAGCAAUUUUACAGCUUAUCAUCUGAUCUGGAAACAUGUAUGAGUAGUUUCUCUUAUAUAAACAUCUGAGUUCCAUUUCUGUUGUCAACUUUCUCACAGAUAGUUUUCUUCAAUUGAGUGCUCGUGUUUUAAUUGAUUUUCAGAUAUUCAAUUUCCUGAAUAACUUCCCAUUCUUUAAGCGCAUUGAAUUGCUCAGAAUCCGAAGUUUACCCUCAGUCAAUAAGAUUCAGCUACUUCUUCGCGUGUGUGAGGGUAAAUGGGUAGUAAGCUAGGGACUUUCUGAUAGAUUCUGCAUUUCUGGACUUUCGAGAGUGGUUGCCAAGAAGACACCAAGCUCCACCAUCCUCUUAUUCCUCCUGAAGGCUUCUUCUCGACAGUCUUCUCUGCUGUUCUGUGAACCAGGACCAUCACAUGUAGGGCACAGAGUUGGAUGAUCUGCUCAUUAUUGAUGUCUUCUGGAGAUGUUGGGGUUUUCUUGAGCAGUUAAUGGUCGAAUGACAAUUUGGCCUAUUCCAUCUUGAAGCUCUCUUGAAAUAGACAAGCUGACUAAAUUAUUUACAUCUGUGUAACCCUCCUCAUUCAAAUCUGAAUCGUUAUCUGGGAGCUGAUCUCCAUCUUCUAAACAGCUUAGGAGUUAGUCGUCCGUUUGCCUGCAGAAGUUUUGAGCACUGCAAUGGUGACUCCAAAAAGUUCAACUGUACUUAUACUUUCUUUAACGCCAAACUCUUAGCGUCUAUACUCUACAGAACAUGGCGUGUUCCCUCUUUUGUUAUUGGACUUGCAUACAUUCUGAACCUUGAGGAUGUCCCUUUAAGUGUAGUCAGAGUGUUCUAUUAUUUUGUGAACAUGAGAUACUAGAAAAUAAGAAGCAGGCACCAAGCUUUACAAAUUCAGGGACCAUUCCAGCGAAUCUUUAUUGCCAUUGACUUGAAUAGCCGGCACCUGAAAACUGUAUCCCUAGACUGUAUCUUUGGUCUGAACAUGGUGUCGAUGAGUUCGUCGAUCAACUCUAAGGAGCCUCUAUCUUUUACUCGUUCUCAAGGACUUUGAGCUACUCCAGAUCUUCUUCCAGUAAGAGAGGAGUAGGAGAGGGCUCUGAAUAUAUCCUUAGAAACUGGGCAUCCUUAAAGUGCAAGCAUAGUAUCUACUAGAGGAAUAUGCAUGCCUAUGUCAAUUACACAACCCUCCUGUACCAUGCUGCUGAUUUAUGAGAAAUUCAAUCAGUAAACUGCAAUCUCUUCAAAUAUAGGAACCGAAUAGGCACCAGACUCAAUGAAGGGAAACUUGAUUUGAAUCAGGAUGAAUGCAAUUGAAACUCAGAUCAAAGGAAAUUUGAGCGAAUCUGAGAUAGAUCUAAUAAGUAAGCAGGAAGGGCAAGCUGCUGGAAGGCCAGAGCAUGGCUUCCUUGUGACAAGAUUGAGCUUCUAGUUGCCCAGUCCAUCAAUUAGCGGAGAAGUUUGACAUGACCCAGAUAAUGGCUAGAUCACUCCUAGUUUUUAGUCUUCUUAUGGUGCAGAGAUGACUGAACAGCAGAAUUUAGCAACUGAAGCAGCCAGGAUAUCGUCAGUUGACACAAUCAUGUGAUGGUAAGAGUUGUCAGAGAGUAGAGAAAGUAAUUCCGGAGAAGGCAACUGUUUUCGUGCAUGAGCAUUGGAGGAGUAUUCAUCAGUCAGAUAAAGAGACAGGCAGUGGGAAUGGCAUUUGCUGCAAAGUGCUUAUUCAUCAAUUCUGCAAACUUUGAUUCCCUGAUAUCCCUUUCAAGUUUCUCCAUCAUUGCCCGUAACAUGGAAGCAAAUGCCUUUGCAUCAUAGUGUUUGUUCUUCAAUUCAGAAACAAGUUGACUGAAUGUAUUUGGAAGCUUUAGAAGAUGCCUUUCUGUUAGCGGUACUUUUGGUAGAACCAGUAUGGGUAACCUUGGAAAGCUUUUCGAAAUCUAGGCGAAUCCAUGUAUGAACUGUCCAAGUAUUCUCUAUUCGUGCGGUGCUGUACUGGAUACAUAACAAUAAUCUCAAUAAUCAUUCCAACAACAAUACAUCAAAUACACAAAUUACCACAGGCAGUGAGGAUCUUCUAGAAGUGCCUAAUUAAAUUGAUGCUAUCCACCAAAUGAGCAGCCUUACCAAGUCUAUGCAGACUUUUUCAGAUAACAUGUUUAAUUCACAAGCCUCAAACAUCAAUUGAUACCGAUCCAGAAUUCCAUGACACUCCUUCAAUACCUUUUGAAAUGACCCUUCACCCGUUAGAUUCAAAUAGCUCCUUUCGAUGAACUUAACCACCACACAAACAGGCAAAAACUUCGUACUCUUCCUUACUCUUCGUGACUGAGUUAUAGUCAAAGGUGAUCUCCUCACCAUCUAGUUGUGUUUUCUGAUUUUAUACAAUUACUGUAGGAAGACGGGUUUCUGCCAUCUUCUCGCAUAUUGGCUUCAGCACUUGUAUCAACUAUCCAGACAUCUUCGGUCAGUAGAUCAUCUUGACUAUUUCAUUACUGUUUCCUUCAUACUGCCCAUCUAAAGAUUGGCUUUGGCAAGUUUGACCAUCUCCGAAAACGAUUCGAUUGCAAUUUCUGGUCGAUCCUCAUGCAAAUAACCAGACAUUAAUAAAUUCCAAGUGGCCAUGUCCGAUAGGACAUUUCAUCGAAUAGCCGUUGAGCACUUGAAGCCGCACCACAUUUACCAUACACAUCCAUAGGAACAAUGGACAGCAAGUGUGGGGUUGUCCCCUGUUUCAGCAAAUGAAUUUACAUAGAAACCCAGCAUUGUGUCCUCCUAGGUCUGUACUUUUUUACGAGUGACACAUUCAGAAAUCUACAAAUGACAAGGAGGACCGAGCCUGAAAGAGAUUCAAAUCCUACAACCCCAAGAAGGAUUCCAAUGGAUAGAAAACGUUGGAAGAUGCAGCUCCAUGCUGAAUGGAACCACCAAAGAAAUUCCCCUAUUUUAUAAGUGUCAACCACAAUAUAAUUCACAAUCCGGCCAGAGAAGUCCUCCUUAAUGCUGUCCCGGAUGAAGAAGUCGGUGGUACAUUCCCUCUCUUCACCUUAUCAAUGACAGUGGGCUCAAAGUCAACAGACACAGCACCGGGGACAUGCUUUCUAAUACCACUGUGUCAUUCCGAGACUUUCCAUCAUGACCCAAUCAUUUUCUGCAUUUGUUUUUAUUGAAACAUCAAUAGGACCAUGCACUGACUCUCGUGGUCUCAGCUCAAUAGUUAUAAACUGAAGCUUUCUUCCCCUUUUGAAUUAUUCAUGACAUCCCAAUGAACCUUUUCAAGCUGAAGGAUGGCCAUCUGUGGGAGGUCCAUAUGGUAAAAGGAUAUGUAGAAUAAUAUGCAUAAUGUUCUGAAGAUUAAGGCAUGAACACAGUUGCAUUUAAGGCAAGUAAUAUAUUUAUACCCUCCAAAGCUGUAAUGGGCACAACCUUCUAACAAAUUCUGUUUAAUUCUCUGUAUUUCGCCACUUUCUUUAAUAGCACCCUUUCUAUUUCGUUGCCACCACUGGAUGACCAGCAAACCCAUGUAGAAGAGUCUUCCUUCAAUGCAUAUAGCCAGGCACUUUUGAGAAGUAGUUUCCUUUAGCAUAGGCCUCGACAGUACUCUUGUAGUAUCUUUGCCAGGAAAACAUUCUCAGACUUUGUCCAACCUAGGUUCCCCACAUCUUUCCAUAUAAAUUCUUCCUACUCUUUCUGAAUUUUAGUUUUAGGCCACGCCAUGAACCAAAGUAGUUCACUAUGCAAUGAAUUUUUGAUACCUUCCACUCCAUCCAGAUGAAUUAAAACUUCUACUGAAUCACAUUUCACAAAGGAUUAACAUUUGUAUGAUAGAUGCUUCUUCUCUGAUGCAGACUGAAUCAUAAGCCGCCUGUGAUAAUCUGUUUGUCACUUGAUUUAUAUGAUCAUGCAAAUCAUUGUAUGAGAACUACCCAGAUUCACAGUAGUAGGUGAUGGACGGGGAUGGAGGAAAAACACAAGACUCAGAAUCAUCCCUUGUCGUGUCUGAGAACUUUUUGACUGUAGCCACAGAAGCAGACUCAAACUCUCUUCUCUGAAUUUAUUUCUGAUUCUCGAAUUCUCUGGAGUUACUAAGAACUUGGCUUUCUUUGCUAUCCAAGGACUAAUCACAACUGACCCAGGAGAAUACCCAGUAGGUGUGCAAACUAUCGUGCAGCAAGGGAUGGGUGAUAGAGAAAUAGAAAAAGAUGCGAAAAGAAACAAAGAAACAAAACAAAACAGAGGAAAGGUGGGCAUAGAGUAAAUCAUCAAGCAAAGCCACAUUCCAUUACUUUGUCAAUGGGCUAAAAAAAAGAACAGGUGAGGAUAUCAGAGGAGAAGAGAACGGUUCUUGAAUAUCAAUAUCAAUGAUAAUCCCAUACAUCAGCCAUUAACAAUAGAGAUUAAAAAGAUUAAAAAUAGAAACCAAAAACAGAGCAUACUCAUGUUUAAAUAUAUUCAGCAAGAGAAACGAUCAGUCCUAAACCUCCACAACAAUCAAUAAGACAAUACCCGGACUUGCAGAAUAAUAUCUAGGAUCAUAUAGGGAUGAGAGGAUGCAAAUUUGGUGUGACCAUACCUGGAAGAACCAAUCUUUGAGGAGUAUUGCUCGGCUUCAAGCGAGAUGAGGAUGCCUGCUGCCAGUCCCUCUCUCUGUGUUUUUUGCCCCAGACGAUCCCGGAAUCCCCAAAAAAUCUACUCCUUUCUCCCUCUCCUUCCUCCAAUGCGUAUCCCACUUUUUCAUUCUUUUCCUUUUCUCACCUAUAUAUAUCACCCCUCAAGACCUAAAUUUGUUUCCAAAAAUGAAAAUUCUCCUAUUUCCUUUCUUCUUCUCUUCUUUUUUUUUAAAUCUUCCACAAAUCUUCCCAAUUUCAAAUUCCUCUCCAAAACCUUCCAAGGAGAGUCCCACCUUCCUUAAACUCCAAUGGUAAGUUUCCUUGCAAACACAUGAAAUUUUUGAAGUUAAAUAAUUGAAUGAAUAGAUAAGCAAGUAAAUAAAUUAGGAAACGGUAAAAAUAAAAUAAAAUAAAAAUAAACCAAUAAACAAAAGUCGAGCCCAAAAGCCAUGUAACCAUGCAAGUCAUACAAGUCACGCUAAAAAUGUCCAAAUGGGCCAAGUGUGCCUAAACGGGCCUAUGAUGAGACUAAGUAGGCCUAGAGCGGUGCCUAAAGGCCAAGUGUAUCUAAAAGCUAUCCUAAAAAUGAAUGAAAAACCUAAGUCUAAAUUAGGGCUGCCAAGGACCAUAAUAAGGGGUCAAAUAAUCCCUCAACCAAAAUCUCCGAAGUGACUUAGAAAAGGUAAGUCGUACGAAUAGUAAUGGGCCACCAAGGAGUUACUAUGGGGCACUGAAAACGAAUUUAAAGACAUGUACUAAAAGGACAAAAUUGAGGGUCUACAAUUGUACUAUUCAUUCUGACACUAAGUUUUUACCAUUUGAAAUUGUUUAUGAUUUUAAUCCUUUAACUUCAUUAGAUUUAACGUCAUUACCUUUGUCUAAACGUGCUAACUUAGAUGGAAAGAAAAAGACUGAAUUUGUUAAGCAGAUACAUGAGAAAACAAGGCUCAACAUUGAGAAAAUGAUGGAGCACUAUGCAAAACAAGCUAAUAAAGGGCGCCGAAAACUGAUUUUUGAACUCAAAUAUUGGGUUUGGUUGCCGAAAGAAAGAUUUUCGACACAAAGGUGAUCUAAGUUGUUUCCAAUGGGAGAUAGACCUUUUCAAGUCCUUAAGUGCAUCAAUGACAAUGCAUAUAAUUUGGAUUUUCCAGGUGAGUACAAUGUUAAUGCCACUUUCAAUGUUAUUGAUUUAAGUCCUUUUAAUGUAGGUGAUGAUUUGAGGACAAAUCCUUUUCAAGAGGAGGAGAAUGAUAAGGGCACAACUAACAAAUGGAAUGCAGAUCUUAUUCAAGUUCUACUUGGUCCGGUUACAAGGGCUUGAGCUAAAAAGUUCAAGAAAACUCUUAAUGGAUUGAUUCAAAACAUUUGGGUUGAGGUGAAUUUGUGGAGGCCCAAGGAAGAUGCUCUACAUGUUCCAUAAGGUUGGAUUUCCAUGAUUCAAGUUUUGGAAUGAUCUAAAAGAAUCCAUCAAAGAGAACAGAUCACAAAUUGCAUGGAUUGAAUGGAGUUUCCUAAAUUGGUGAUUACCCAAUUUUUGACUCAUCAAGGAGAUUAGCUAGUGCAAUCUAAAGCAAUCUUUUAAGAUUGCUAAAUUACCUUUCUUAUUUGUUACUAUAUUUUAUAUUUUGAAUUUUAUGGGAAAGUGAUAAAUUAGAAAUUCCCUUCUUUCCUUUUUACUUUGGGGUAGGCAUGAUUUUAGGAAAUAAUGGAUUCAAUUUUCACAAUCCAACUUAGGAUAUUUUAGUUUCCCUUUUCUCGUUAUUUGCGAAUUCUAGGCAGAAUAUUUAGGGAUUUUCUAAUUGCCAAAUUCAUGGACCUCUUUAUAUUUAAAUAGCCAUCAACUUAUUGAAAAAUAAUACAAAUUUCAUUCAUAAUUUUGUGAGAGAAAAUUCUCUUUGGUUCUUUUAGAACUCUUUGAACUUAUCGCAAAGAUUUGAGUGGUGUUCUCCUUUAGCUUAUCAAUCAAUCCUUCUAUAAUUGAUUGUGGUGUCUUCAUUAUACCAAGGUUCUUGCUUCCAUAUAAGUAACGGGCUGCAGUUACAUACAAAUAUGUUUUAAAACAAUCUUGGAGCCAUUCUUGAUCCACAAGUUUCUCAACUUUGGUAUGGAUUGUAUCACAGUCUUGUUAGUUAUGUCUUUCUGAUAUUUUGUUACAAUAGAUGUUGUAAUUCCAUAUUUUGUUGAACCAAUCAAAGAGUAUAGACCAUUCGAAAGAACCCCUUUCAUCACAGUUAAUUCACCUUUCACAACCUUCAUCACCCCAUUUUCAAUUCUGAUAGAACAACCUAUUGAAUCAAGCAUCCUAAGAGAAAUCAAAUUUCUUUUAGCUCUGGAAUGUACCGUACAUUCUAUAGUACUCUAUAACAACCAUCAAACAUUUGCACCUUGAUAGAUCCAAUCCCUCAAAUCUUACAUGCCUUGUUGCAUAGUAAAACAAUCCCUCCAUUAAUCUCCUUGAAUGUUUGAAACCACUCAUAAUUGGACUCAUAUGAAACGACACCCAGAGUUCAAGACCCACUCCUGGUGAGUAUCUUGUGCUAAGUGAACAAGUACCUCUACCGAAUCAUAACCAUCCAACACCACUAAUGCGUCACCAGAUUCCUACUUAUCAUUUGACUUCUUCUUCUUAUUAGGGCACUCUCUCUUUCUGUGACCCUCCUUGUUGCAGUGAUAACACCUAAACUUUCUUUGUGAUUUGGAUCUUGAUUUUCUUUUGUUCUUGUUAUCUCAUUUCUCCAUUCUACCUCUAACAUUAAGAGCCUCAUUGUUACUAUUUGUCUUCUUUUCUGCCCUCAAUUCCAAUUCUUUAGACCUAAUAGCUAGUUCCAAAUAAUCAAGAGACAAUGUAUCCCUACCAUACUUUAUGGUAUCACGAAGUUGACUAUAGGUUGAUGGUAACGAGUUCAACAAUAUGAUGUCUGAUCUUCAUCAUUGAUUUUUUCUCCAAUGUUCUCCAAUUCAAUAACCAACUUAUUGAAUUCAUCGAGGUUCUCAUCAAGAUUCUUGUCCUCUUGCAUCUUGAACCCUAACAAAUUUGGUUAUUGAGAGAUUUUGUCAUAUAAAGACUCUCCAAUUUCAACCAUAAGCUUGCUGCAAUUGUUUCCUUGUUGCACUUCCUUAAAACACUAUCACUAAAAUAUAAUAUCAUAGUGCUAUAUGCUGUUUCGAGCAUCUCCAUCUUCUUUGUCUCUAUCAUGGUGCUUGGAAGGUUUUUUUUUCUCCUUGUAGUACUUGAGUAACCUUUUGUUGAACCAAGAUUGCUCUCAUAAGUUGCCCCCAAAUGUCGAAGUCUCCCUUGCCAUUGAAUUGUUGCAUCUCAAACUUAGUUGUAGCCAUUUUCGACAAUUCCACACUCACUGCACCAAUUGUGGGAAUAUGAAGAAGAAAUAAUCAACCAAUUUAUUGAAUUCAAUGCACAAACUCCUUGUAGGUGUAAUACUACCCACACAACAAAGAAGAACUCACGCACGCAAACACCAAAGAAACGAUAAUCAAGACACAAAGUUUUAUGUGGUUCAAUCCAAACUGACCUACAUCCACGAAUUGUAGCAACAAUUUUCAGUAUUUACAGUCAAUGAUACAAGGCAAAAAAAAUAUUAGAACAAUUUUCCUCGAUGUAAACCCCAAAUUACAAGCACUCUGUCUGCCACCCUUAAUAGCAGGCUAUAAAUCUAGUUUGAUUUACACCUCGUUUCCUAUUCCAUAUUUUUCCCAAAAAACCAAAUUUGACUAGUUACCCAAUCAAUAUCAUAAGGAAAUAAAUCCCCUAUUUACUUUUCUAGAAACAAAAAAUACAAAAGGAAAAAAUCAUCUUGACUAACCAUAAAAUCUACUAUGAUGAUACAUGUCCAGAAACCAAAUUUUUUCACAUAGUUGAAGGAUUUGAUCCCUUUCAUUUAUGGGUUCUCCAAUGGUUGCUAGGUUAUCAGAGAUAUUCAUUACUUUAAUAAUAUACUCCAUCAUUGAUAAAGAACUCUUUCUUACUGUUUGAAAUUCUAAAUGAAGUUGCAUUAUCUGAGCUUUGAUGAAACUAAAAAGAUUUUCUCUAAUGCAAUCUAUAACACCCAAGUAUUUUUUAGAGAUAAUUUAGGAAAAUAAUAAUAAUAAUAAUAAUUUAAUUAUUUAUUUAUUUAAUUUAAUAAAAUGAAAAAUGGGUAAAAAUGUAAUUUUACGAAAAAAUACCCUAGGUGUAAAUUAUAAAUUCUGUUCUUCCUGUUCUUUUUUUAAUAGUGUUCCUGUUCACAAAAUUCCAAAGAACGUAAAGUUGAAGUCAAAUUUCAGGGUUUGAAGAACAGAUCUCUAUGGGUAAGAUUCUAAUCCCUAGAUUAAUAUUUUAGAUUCAUUAUUUAAAUUCAAACACAUUAGAUAUUUUUUGGAAAAUCCAAAUCUAGGUUAGGGUUUGUUUAUUUAACUUUUAGAUCAAAAUGUUUGAAAUUUUUUUUUUCAAGUAUAGGUUGAUUUAUUGAUGAAGAUAGGAAAAUUUGAAAAUUUUCAAUGGAAUAGAAAAAUAAAUAAAUAAAUUUAAAAUGAAAAAAAAAAACAGAAGAAAUCUCAAUUUUGAUUAAUUUGAGAGAACAUGUAGCAUAUGCAUUACAAUGCCUUUUUACAAUAAAGUGAUGAUUUAAUCUGUCUGAAAUGGAACAUCUAGUAAUGUGGACUAUAAAAUAACUUGUUCAUAAUGAUUCCAAUUGACACCCAAUGCAAGGCUCGCCUAUUAUCCUAUCAAAUCACCCAAAGAAUCCACUACUUCCAAGUGGUGGAACCAUAUAGAAUGAGGUAAUUGCAGGGGGUGCAAUCCGUGUGUGCUAGAAGCAUGACUCAAAAAGUACACCAGCCUAAGAAAAUAAUAAUAAUAAUAAUAAUAAUAAUAAUAAUAAUAAUAAAGCUUGAAAUAGCCAAGACAUUAUUACUACUUAAAUAACUAAUGAACUCCAAAGAAACUUCUCCUACAUGUAGAAACGUCAACAUUAUCUCUUUGAUCUUGACAGUGUACAAUUCCAACCUCUCUUAGCUUCUUGGGUCCUUUUUCCAGUGCUCAAGCUAAACUCAAAGGGGUGAUAUAGAUACUAGAUACUUGUAUUUAUGGUAUUGAGGCAUUGUAUUUGUGUGCACACUGUUGGAAGAAGAAAAGAAAAAAAAGAAUUUUAUCGAAUUUUAUAAUGAAAUAAAAUUGCAAUUUAAUUAAAUUAGUAAUGUGUUAUUAGAAAAAAAUUGGGAAUUUAUUAAUUUGUUUAAAUAAGGAAUAAAUUUUAUUUCAAUUAUAGAUAAAUAGUAAUAGUUGUUUCUCUUAUGUUAUAUUAGGUGAAGAGUAGAUUUUCCAGAAUUAUUUUUUCUCCCACGUUUUCGAGGACUUCUUUUGAGGUAAAGGAAAUUAAUGCAAUUGCUUUUUCUUUUUAGAAACAAAUUUUUAUAUACAUCAUUUGGAAAUGUUUUGAGUUAUUAUUCAUUUUAUGCUUAGAUCAAAUAUGUUUUACAUGAAAAGUAUGUUAAAACUUUACAUUUUGUUUAUAACAGAGAAAUGUGGAGAUAUUAUAUUUUGCAAAUUUAAAUAAUUGAAAUUAGUGUUUGACUCUGGUUUGUUUGGCCCUUGUCAACGGGAUAUAAUAGUUGACCUUUACAUAUCUUGGUAGGGAAUGUAAUUGAUUUGGACCCCACCCUCCAAGGGUUUGGUUAGAAGUUACUAGUACUAGUAGUGUUUGGUUCGGUCUAUCUUAAAGGAACAAUUUGAGGCUAGCCACCUAUUUGAAAAGUCCCACCUAACUGAGCACCAUUUAAUGUUUGAUGAUCAUAGUAAAUAAAUGAUUUGAAUGUUUUGAUUGAAUUUGAUAUGAAAAUGUUUGAAUCAUAAAUGAAAGUAUACAGUGAAAAGUUUUGAAUGUAUUGACAAAACUGACUCAAAGGUUUACGAAAAUAAUGAGUUAUAAUAUCUCUUAUUUUGCAAGUGAACUUAAAAUAUUUGAUCCAUGAACUGCAUUAAUGUUCCUUAUUGGGCUUUGAGCUCAUUCCCCUUUGUUGAUAAUUUUUCAGGUACCCUUAGUUCGAGCGAGGAGUGAUGGCUAGGUCGAGGAAUGGUCAUCAUUAGGAUUUUGCUUAUGAUGUUAUUUUUGGAUAUUGUUAGCUUAUAAGUUUAUGUUCAUUUGGCUUAUUUGAUUUUUGGAAGCUAUUUAGAUAUUGAACUUUUGAAUUUUUUAUGAUAGUUUGAAGUUGAAAUUUGAGAUUAUGAAAAUUUUUUAUAGCACUUGAAUUGUUUGAGUUUGCAAUCUAUUUAUAAUGGAUUUUGGUUGAUGGAUGUUUAGUUUUAAAGUUUAGUUUUGAAGAUUUUAAAAUUUGUUCCGCUACUCUGAAUAGAUAUUUGGUAAUUGGUAACUUCUAGUUACAAGAUAAUUGUUUGGGUUAGGUUACACUUUAAGCCCUCGGGUUUGAGGUUUGAAAUGACCGUCAUGCCCUUGGAGUGGGUCUUGGGGCGUGACACAAUCCAUAUUGUAUGUGAUGUCUGGUAUCCAACUACAUGUCCCAUGAUUUCAGGAGUAAGAGUGGAGUAGAUCUAGCGUAGGAUCAUUCGGUCAAAGCGCCUCAUGAAAUGAAGUCUGGAUUUAUCUCACCAGAAUUUAUUUCUUUCAAACCAUCAAUGUGGUCUUCAAAACCAUUGGCAAAUACUACAUUUUCCAUUUAUGUACGCCAUAAAAUGUAGUUGUUUCUACCUAGUUUAAUGGGGAGUGUAUGAUUAAGUUCCUACAUUUGAGGAAUGCUACUAUUUGAAGAUGAUACAUGUGUGACUCUAGCUUGUUGUCCAUACGACUCUGUUGAAGAUUGCUGCAUUUUUAAGCCUUGAUAUCUUUCUGUAGAUGACAAUAUUCUUGGAUCUCGAGAAAUUUUCUAGAUUGCCAAAUUGGCUUUGAUACCAUGAUAUCCAGCAUAUACACUGUUCAAAAAGAGAAAAAAAUGAAUCACUAGUUUUCAUGCAGUACUGUUCUUAAAGUAACAACAUAUACAUGCCAAAUUGACUUUUAUACACUUCUUUCUAACCUACUGCUAUUAGUACUGCCUUUGGUUGUUACAACAACUUGCUAUAUUCCAACUAUUUUUAAUUGAGAGAACAAUUGAUUUGUUUGAGAGAUUAGUUGACUGUUUGUUUGUUUGGCUAUCGAAACUGUCAUGAACGUUUUUUUUAUAAUAGUUUUCUAACCAUAAUAUAUAAAAUUGUAUUAUUAAAUAAAAAUCGAAAUGCUUUACUUAAACAAUAUAAAUUUUUGUACUCACAAGUAUUGUGCAUAACAUUUAAAUUUGACAUUAACAUUUUUUUUUUUAAUAAUUAAUUUCUAGUUUGAUAGAUUUGGUAAUUUUAUAAAAAAUAAUUAAUGGGUUAUAUCAGAUUUAUAUUACCAAACAUAUACACUUUAAGGACAAAUAGUAUACAUCAAGAUUGAUCAAAGUAAGGCAGAUCUACUUUGAAGACAAUGCUCUACAAGCCACCCUAAUUUUAUAAGUGUCUAAACUCUUUUUUUUCCCCACUUGCUUGUUUGUGUUUUAGGGUCAAGUCUUGUUUCUACUUAGUUUCAACCCUAUAGUAUUUUGAACCAACAAUCAUAAAGUAGAGUUUAAUUUAUAAAGAUUCUUCCUUAGUUCACACCCAUCCAGAACCCUCUAAGAUUGAUCCCUUCAAUAGGACCUUUUUCAAGAGAUGGUAGGAAAGGACCUUUUUUGCCAUUAACAUUGUGAACUUGGAAGAUAUUUUGAUUGACCUAAAACUUAAGGAAAAUUAUGAAAAUUUGCCUAUAUAGGAAUUGGAGAUAAAAAAAAGUUAUGCAUGUUGUCAUUGGUACACUUUCUAAGGAACAAUUUGAUGUAUAUCAUCAAAUAGUUUUCAAAAAUUGUUCUCAAAAAUUGUUUUUCAGUACCGUUUUCUAAAACAGUUACCAAACAGGGUCAUGUCUAUUUAGAUAUAAGUACUCUUGGUUUUUGUUUUUAAAAUCAGAAAAUUCUAUAUAAAAAUAGAGCAUCUUAUGCAAAAAGUCUAGAUUUGCUUUAUCUAUUUAUAAAUCACCUUUAGAAAUUUAAAAAUGUGAGUUAAAUUUUUUUUAUUACCUCAAUUUUUGUAGAUAGUUUUCAAAACCAUUACUUAUUCAAUAUUAAUGUUUAAAAUUUCUUAUAUAGGAAAGUUAUAGUUAUUUUGAGGAAACUCAUUCCUUCACUCCUUGAGGCCCUUAAGAAAAUGUAUUCUUUUUCCUCUAUGAAUAAAAGUUGGGUAAGAAGACUCUUAUUAAGCUGUUGAAAUUAUUUUAAAAUGACAUAAUGAAAUAUUUAAUUAUGUUAAACUUGGACCAUAAAUGACAUAGAUACAUGUUAAAAUGAUGAAUAUAAAAAUAAAAAGGACAUAAUAACAUAUUAAAAGCAAAAAUUAUAAUGUUUUAAAUUAAUUUAAUAAGAUAUUAAAUUACUAAUUUUUUAAUUAAAAAUUUUUAUGUAUGAAUAAUCUAGAUUCAUGAACCGGAAAACAUAUUUUAAUCUCUUUGGUUCAAUGAACUUUUGUAAAUUUCAAGUAAUAUUAAAUUAGUGAGACUCUUAACAUAUCAAAACUAAAGUAAUGAACAUCAUUGUUAUAUUCCUUUUAUUUAAUUCAUGUAAAUAUCAAUAAUCAUUUACCAAAUUAAUAAAUUGUGAAAAAAAUUAAGAAUAUGGUCUUCUUAAUAAGUAUCCAUAGUCAAUAAUAUGAUGUUCUUAAUCCAAAUUUUAUUUUAAUUUUAUGAGUCUAACAUUUGUGCAUUACUAAUUCUAAAUCUCUUUUACAUUUUUUUGGGACAAAGUUAUAAUCCUUUUAAAAUAUAUCAACGAACUAGGGGAUUAUUUAAAAAAUGAUACAUCAGAUUUUUUUUCUUGUAUCUCUUUACAUAAAAAGGAUAGUGUGAUAAAACAUACACAUUUCAUUCCAUUUCAUUUUUAUUAUGGUAAACAUAUAAAAUAUUAAAUAAAGCUACAUUUUCUCUCUCUACACCUGCUUCAUUUGAAAAGAAACUAGAGAAGCAGGUAUAGAGAGGAAGGGUACAUUUAACAUUUCCAUAAUUAGUAAACACAUUCAAGCAAUCAAUUUGAUUUCAUUCUAUUUUCUAUGUAGUCGUUUAAUUAUUUAUGUAUAAUUUUUAUUCUUAUGUAGAAGUUAUCUCAAAAUUGCCCAAGGUAGAGGGAAAAAUACGAGGUACUUUAUUUCUUAGUCUAGCUUUUAUGGAAACUUUAACAAUUUAUGGAUUGGUUUCAUAGAAGUACUAGCAAAUCAUUCAAUCCUAAUAAUAUGUUUGAAUUGUUAAUUGCUAAUAAGAAGCCAAAAAUUCUCUUUUGAAGUUUAAUAAAAAUUUUAUGUAUAUAUUUGGAUAAUUUAUUAAGAAGUAAUGACUUGAAACUUUUUUCUAAUAUAAUAAUCAUAAAAACAUUGUUUCUCCUAUAAACACUAUAUUGGCUUAUAUAGGUUAAUGUUAACAUUUCCAAUAAAUAAAAACUACUCAUUAAAAUAAGACUUAAUAGGAUUUAAGCUCUAUUUGGAAAAAAAAAUUGCUUUUAAUAUUUUUUUUAUAAAAAAAGUCUAAAACAUGCAAUCAUACUCUUCUACAUGAUUUAUCAAAUGUCUUUCAUCAAAUGUGUCAUGCGAUGAGACAAUUUUUAUUUAAUUAAAGUUUAAAGUAUUAAAAUAUUCUAAUUUUUAACAAAACAUAUUAAAAUAUAUUGUUAAACAUAAAAUUUCAUCCCACAACAAUCUACUAUUAGUGCUAUGUUUGUUUCUCGUAAUAUUUGAAGGGAAAUAUAAAAAAUCGAAAAUAGAAAGGGAAAGUACAAAAAGAGAAAAAUGGAAGGAAAGUAAAAAAUGAAUUUAAAAUUAAUAAAUUAUUAUUAUAUGUUACUUCAAACUUAUUUUAUUUAUUUUAAUUCUUUGAUACAAACAUUAAAUAAUUUGAAAAUGUUAACUUUUUAAUUAAUUUUUAUUUGAUUUUCUUGGACAUUUUUUAUAGAAUAGUUACAUGUGAGAAAAUCAUUUUUGGUGGUAUUUUUUUUUUCUUUUCUUGAUACUUUCUAGAAACUAAACAUAACCUAAAACACGAAACCCAAAAGUUAUCCCAGCAAGCUCUUUGAGUAACAAUAUUCAAUAAUUUAUUUUAUUAAAAAUCAGGAAACAAAUAAUAAAAAUUUUCACCCAACAUUAAAGUCAUCAAGGAUAUAUUUAGUACUCUCACACACCUUAUAAAAUAAACAAGGAAAGAGAGAAAUGAGGAGCACAAAUUUAAUUAUAACAAUUUUUUUUUGCCAUAUUUUUAGUUUUCAAUAAACUAAUGAACAUAUAGAAGAAUUUAAAAAUGCAUAAAUUUUUUAUUUUAUUUUUUUCCAUCAAAGCCAAACAAUAACUAGAAAGAAAGUGUGAGUUAACUUCACAAGCAAAAUUAAUUCAUAUGUUAAGAGUUGGAAAAAAGGUCACAAGAUAAGAAUUCUUCCUCUCAUAUUUCACUUAGAGCUCGUCCUAAUGUAUAACUCUUUAAUUUAUUUAAUAUGAAUAACAGGAGAAGAGUCGGAGAAUGUGAUUCUAUUACACCAAAACUCAAUAUUCUUCUAAAAAACCCAUUCACUCAAAACGUUCACAACAAUUAAAAUUAGAAUAAAAUAAUAAAUUUGUGAUAAAAACAUAUAAAAUUAGAAUAACUUAAAUAUAAUUAUAAAUUUUAAUUUAAAUAUAAUAGAUUCAACUUCACAAUGCACGUUAUGAUGAUUAUAUCAAUACUUUACAAUUCGAUUUUUUUCUUGCAUCCCUUUUCUUGCUUAGUAUCUCUCCUCUUUGUCACACUCUUAUAUUACAAAGGACUAAACUAAUUAACCUUCCCAAAGAGCUCACUUACUUCAAAAGUGGGACUCUCAUAAGGGAUAUCCCAAGCUUCACCUUGAUCCUUGAUAAAUCAUCAAAGUUCAGGUCCAUAAGUAGUGACGGUUGCAUAAAGAAAAAUAUUGAUAUUUUAAAAUUUUCAAUUACUUUUUCUUCAUUAAUAGUUGGCACAUAAAAAAUGAUAAAAUAAGUAAAAUAAUAGGAAUGUCAAAAGUGGAAAAGUAAAGUUAAUUGGUUGUUGGCUUUGUGGUGGACUUCAUAGUCUACUCAUGGAAAUAUAUUACUCACUUGACUUAGACUUUAAAAGCUAAGAUCCAAUUCCACUCCUUAUCGUGAAAUAGGUGGUUCAGAUUAUGUAAAAUUGUGGAUAUGAUUUAAAGCAUUAUAGUAAAAUGUGGCAAGGAAAGUGUACUAAUGUGUUAAUAAUUCAGUUGGAAAAUUUAUUAAAGUGAGAGCAUUGUAAUCUUUCUUUAUUGUCCUCUAUUUUUAAGCCUUAGCCUAGUUCAUUCACUUGUCCCCAAAAUUGGAUGAAGAGCAUUUAGACUAAAGAUUUCUAUAGUUUAAAUGCAUAAAAUCUAACUUGAUUAAAAUUUUAGAUGUUGAAUCUAACUUGAUUAAAAGCUUUGACAUGUGAAUAAAAGUUUUAUGUAUUCUCUAGAAUUAUUGUUGCAUCCAAUGCUAUUUGCACUAAAAAAAUAAAAAGUCGAGUGGCAAUCAUCUUAUUGCCAACAUUGUGUUCAUAAUUCUUUGUUUAAAAAUUUAUUAAUCUUAUAUUCCUUCCAAAUCUUCUCAGAUAUUAGAUAAAAAGGUUAAUUCAUACAACCUUUCCAUAAAAAUAAAAAGUCAACAAUCUAGGUUUUUAUAACUUUUUAUGAUUAAUUUUGAUUUAUUAAGUAAAUAUUAUUUUUUAAAUCUUAUUAUUUAGCUAGAAAGAUAAAUCAUGUUUAAAAAAAAUAUAUAAAAUUAUUUUAGAACAUGUAUAAGGAUAUUAUUAUCAAUUUUUUCCAUUUAUUUUCCAAUUGUUACCAAAUGCUGAAAUGUUAACAAAUAUUCAUUCCAAGCUUACAUUUCUAGUAUAUCCAAAUAUUGAAAUCAUCAAAUUUAUUCCCAUUUAAGAAGAAUGGAAAUAGAAACAAAAUAUUUAUUUCCAUUCCACUCUCACAUACCAAACAUGAUCUUGUAGUCUAUCUAUGGAAAUACCUCACUCUAACCCAUUACAUAGAAGUGUGGGCUAGACGGGCUAACAUCUUAUGUUGGUUAGAAAAUUAAAGCUAAAGAUAGUCUAAUCUCUCUUUUUUUUAUCUUCUAUUUUGCUAAUAUACCCUAUUGAUUGACUAAGUCAAAAAUUGAAUUAAGAUCAUUUGCAUAGGACUAAAAGUGGAGGUGUCCAUUAUUGGGCCGGGCCGCCCAUUUUGGUCGUGGCACAGCACGCCAAAAGGCCGGGCCAGGCUGGAAUGGCUCAAUACUGUAGCAGGUUGGGCUGGCACAGCCCAAAAGGAGCGGGUCGUGCUGGGCCUAAAGAAACAGCCCGCACGGCCCGCCAUGCCCAUGGGCCACAGCCCGCCAUGAGGUUACUAUGUUCACAUUGAUCCCUUUACUUCCAUUCUUAUUGUUUCUAGCUCCCUUUAAUUUUAAAGUAUUGCAUUUGGGGCAGGAACUUCUUGCCCUAGGAGAAAGCAUUGGAAAUGUUAGCACAGGCUUGUCUGAAGAUAUGGUCUCAAAGUGUUUGACAAAAACAACAUACCAUUCAUCAGAUCAAAACCAGGAGGAAGCAAUGUGCACAAUAUGCCUUGUAAGAACUGUUGCACCUUACCUAUUUCAAUUGGACAGGGAUUGACUUUCAUUUUAGACCCAAAACAUUGGUAGCAACCAUACAAGUUAAAUGGUGAAGCACCCACGUCUUGAUAGCUUCAUAUAGAAGAUUAUGAUUAAAAUCAUCAUGGUCCAUGAUUUUGAAUGUCCCAAUCUAAAUAUUUCCUCCAGUGCUCUUAAACAUUACAUAACAACUUCAAUUUGAGAAAGGUGUUGCUUUAGAAACUCGUAGAUCCGAUGUCCUUUUGUUGGUUGUAUUGGAUAAGCAGGUUUUGUCUUAGGUGGGUUCAGUAAGAUAUUGGGUCCUAAUUUCAUACUUAAGAGCCGCCUCAUUUAAAAUAUUUGUUGAACUGGUAGAAGGCUGUUUAUUUGGGUUCAAAAUUUCCACAACUAAAAAACAUUUAGAUUUUAUGGACCUGUAUGGGAGUUCCAUAUGAUAACCUGUAUGGCAUGAACUUGACCAAUGGAACUCAAGAGGCAAAUAGAACUUGGGAGGUGUUGGAUCAUGCUCUCACAAAUGUUGCAUUAUUUCUUUUUAGCUUUUAGGAAGCCUGUCUCAUAACUGUUGCUUUGCAAUGACAGGAGGAAUACAAAAGCAAGGAAGAAGUAGGGAGAAUGAAGAACUGUGGUCAUGAGUACCAUGUGGGCUGCAUCAGGAAAUGGUUGUCAAUGAAGAAUUCCUGCCCCAUUUGCAAAGCACCUGCUCUUGCAAAUGGUUUGAAGGAGGAAUGAUUUAUAUUUUAGCAAAAUGGGUGGCCCAUGGGCCACAGCCCGCCUAGCACGGCACGGCCUGGCCUAGCCCGACAUGAUUAGCCCACAAACCUAUGGGCUAUGACGGGCCACCUCUUUCCUUGCAUGGGUCGGCCCGACCCAACACGAUUUUUAAGUGGGCCAUGCUAGCCUGGCACAUUGGCCCAUAAUGGCCCGAUCAACAUCGGGCCGUGCCGGGAGGUUUGUAAAGACUAAAUGUAUAAAAUCUAACUUAAUUAAAAGCUUUAAACAUUCUUUUACCUUAUUUAAAUUUCUUUUGUUUAUUUUUAUUUUCACUUUUUGGAAAAUCCAAUUGGAUCUUAGCAUUCAAUAUCAUCAUAAUUAUCAUAUUAUAAUGUGUGAUAUACUAGGAAUUUUUAUGCUUUAUAUUCAAAAACUUGAAUUUAUCUAUAAUGCUCUUAUAUAUUAGAAAUGCAUUUUUUUAUAUAAAUAUUUUUCAAUGAAAACACUUAAUAUUACCUAUGAAGUGGCAAAUUUAAGCAAAAAGACUUAAAAACAUUACGAGUAGUUUUUACAACUAUACAGAUUUUUCCAGGUAAGAUUCUAACCUUAAAUUAAUAUAUUAUAUUCAUUAGUUCAUUUUGAACACGCUAAAUAUUUUUUGAAAUUUUUUAAUUUAGAUUAGGGUUAGUUUUUUUUUAAUUCUUUUUAAUAUCAAAAUAUUGGAAAUUUAAGAUUUUGGGUUGAUUUAUUGUUGGAAAUCGAGAAAUCUUAAUUUUUUAGAUGAAAAAAAAAAUUCUUUGGAAGAUUUCGAUUUAGGCUAGGGUUAAUCUAUUUAAAAUUUUUAGGUCAAAAUUUUGAAAUUACGAAUAUAGGUUGUUCCAUUGAUGAAAAUAGGGAAAUUCAAAAUUUCUUAGAUGAAUAGAUUUAAGCAAUGAAAUUUCAAAAUUUAAAUGAGUAAAUAAAUAUAUGAUUAUAUAUGACUUAAGGGAUUGGAAAAUAUUAGGAAAAAUAAUAAUAAGAUUUCAUAGGUGAUUUCUAAAAGUAUAUAAUAAUAAUAAAUAGGUUUGGAGAUAGUAUGCACAAUGGCCAUUAAAAAGAAAAAAGAAGAAUGUGUGGUGUGGAAGAAUGAUGAAAAUAAUAAUAUUAAUAAUAAUAAAGAUGCAUGCACUAUGCGUGGAGUGUGUGGGUGUGAUGAAUGUGAUAUGUAUAGUUAAAUAUAUUAUAUUGGUAUUUGUAUGAGCUUGUUAUGGUAGUUGUGUUUGGAAAAUAUGAAAAUAAUAUAAUAAAUUAGGUAUAAAUAAAAUGAGGUGAAGUACAAAUUAGUUAAAUUUAUAGAAUUAUAAUUAGAUUAAUGAUAAAUAUUAAGUUAAUAAGUAGCAUAAAAUUUAAUUAGUAAAAUAAAUUGUAGUUUAAUUAAAUUAUGUUGUGUCCCAAGAAAUAAAUUGAAAAUAAAAUUUAAGUUUUAUAUGAAUUAAAAAUUUAUUAAUUUUUUUAAAAUAGGAAUAGAUUAAAUUAUCUUUCAUAAUUAAAAACAUUAAUUUGAAUAUCUAAAAUUUUAGAAUUGUCAAACCUAUAAUUUUAGAUAAAUAGUAAUGGUUAUUUCUCUUAUACUUUGUUAGGUGAAGAGUAGAUUUUCCAGAAUUAUUUUUCUCCAAAGGUUUGGGCUAUGUUUGGUUCCCGGAAAAUGGGAGAGAAAGAAAAUUGGAAGGAAAAAUGAAAGGAAAAAAAAAGGUAAGGAAAGUAAUAUAAAUUUUUUCACUUGUUUGGUUAUCCAUGAAAAAUUCAAGGGAAAAAAAAUUAUUCUCUUUUGUUUGGUUAACUAUGAAAAAUAAGUCAAGAAAAAAUGAAAGGAAAAUAAAUUCAAUAAUUUGUCUAAGAUGAUUAUCAAUUUAUAGAAUAAUAAAAUAAAUUUUAUAUUCGUAUUUUCUAAAAAUCAGAGGAAGACCCAAUUUUCCAAUCGUCCAAUUCCAGAUGGACCAAAUCGAAGAUCCUUCACAAUUGAAGGGUCUCGAAUAAAGCAAAGCACCAAGCCUGGGAGAGCUGGACGCUGCGGACGACGGGGAGGGGGAUGAAGAGGUAGAGGAGGGACAUGAGGCUGGUGGCGCCGAAGAUGAAGAGGGUGGCGGCAGUGGAGAGACUCGCGACAACGAUUUGGGGGAGGGAGAGGAGGGGGUCAGAGAUGGCGACGACAACAAUGGACUUCAUGGGCUGGAGAGGCAUUGGGAUGCUGAAGAGAAAGCUGAUGGAGAUGUUGUAGAGAGCCGUGAAGAUGAGGGUUGUGGAGAGGUCCAGGUGGUUGACCAGUGUGAGAGUUAGGACGAUGGGUAUGUAGGUGCCCAGGUCGCCCACAGAGCCCCCGAGCUCGACGGAGAGAGUGGUUUUGAGACGGAAGGAGCUGAACCACCGCCGGCUGGGGCGGAUGAGAGGGGUGGUGGUGGUGGUGGUGGAAGGUGUGUCGUCGGCCAUGAAGGCAGCACAGUCAAAGGACUGAGUUUGUGAAUUCAGUUUUGCGGUGAGAGAGAGAGACGGGGG